UUCAAUGUAAGUGCUAUAAAAGGACGAGAUCUCUGGUUGAUUUCGAAAUUGGAACAACUGCAGCGGGCAUGGUGGUGUCACCUGGCAGUUCAACUGAUUGGACUAUUGUUGGUGCAGCACUUGGAUCAGUUGCGGCACUUUCUAUUGCUGUGGGAAUAUUUCUAGUUUUUGUAUGGAGGUCAAGAAGUCGACGAAACAAUAAGUCGAAUGGAAAAGCAAAAAGAGAUCAUAGACUGAGCUUGAAAUGACGGAUCCUUCUCAAAGCCAGCAGUACAUGACAUUGGACGAGAGGGCUCGACACACUAAACCAGUCAGAGAAUA
This is a long non-coding RNA of Stylophora pistillata, 321 nucleotides long. NCBI's taxonomy places the organism in Eukaryota, Metazoa, Cnidaria, Anthozoa, Scleractinia, Pocilloporidae. The record is from RefSeq and is a predicted model, not a curated record.